This 430-nucleotide ribosomal RNA is filed under the name uncultured bacterium. RNAcentral's name for it is "bacterial SSU rRNA". It matches the Rfam family "Bacterial small subunit ribosomal RNA", at positions 355 to 776 of the family's 1533-position model. The record is from RNAcentral.
UGGGGAAUUUUGCGCAAUGGGCGAAAGCCUGACGCAGCAACGCCGCGUGAGUGAUGAAGGCCUUCGGGUCGUAAAGCUCUGUCAGUGGGAAAGAAGUGUGGGAGGGCUAAUAUCCCUAUCACUUGACGGUACCCACAAAGGAAGCACCGGCUAACUCCGUGCCAGCAGCCGCGGUAAUACGGAGGGUGCGAGCGUUGUUCGGAAUUAUUGGGCGUAAAGCGCGUGUAGGCGGCUCCUUAAGUCUGAUGUGAAAGCCCCGGGCUCAACCUGGGAAGUGCAUUGGGAACUGGGGAACUUGAAUACGGGAGAGGGUAGUGGAAUUCCUGGUGUAGGAGUGGAAUCCGUAGAUAUCAGGAGGAACACCGGUGGCGAAGGCGGCUACCUGGACCGAUAUUGACGCUGAGACGCGAAAGCGUGGGGAGCAAACAGG